RNAcentral lists this long non-coding RNA (819 nucleotides) under Gossypium barbadense (sea-island cotton). RNAcentral's name for it is "long non-coding RNA (GBAR_LNC001233)". The record is from RNAcentral. Lineage: Eukaryota; Viridiplantae; Streptophyta; Magnoliopsida; Malvales; Malvaceae.
AGUCGCCACCAAUCUUUUUUUUGAUGAGAUGUGAUCGGGUCACCUCGUAAAAUGGUUGUUUUUAAUAAACGAUUUGAUUUUAUUAAAACAACGAGUUUGGUCUACGAAAUCCAAAAACGGGUUCGGGAGUCGGUUACGCACGAGGAAGGAUUAGCACCCUCGACACGCCCAAAAUUGGUACCUUAGUUGAUUAUUUAAUGUCUUUAUGUCGAAAAUUAAAAACUCGAAAAGAAUUUAAAAAUACGAUCCUUCUUUAUAUUGCGUUAUUUUUUAAAAAAAUUACUUGGAUAAAUCAAAAUAAAAAAUGCCUUCUUAUCUCGAAUUAACAAGAUGUCACAUCCAGUAAGUUAGGACACGACACCUUGUAUUUUUUUUUUAGAGUAAGCUUGCCUUUUAUUUUUUAUUUAAACCUCAUUUAUUUUAAUUUUAAAAGGAUAUUCGAUUACUUAGAAUCAACGAGAAAAAUCGAAGCUCAGUAAGUUAGGGCACGAUUUUCUCGAAUUUUCUAAAUACGGAAUAUUGCCUUUACUUUCGAAAAAUCCUCAUAUCGAGAAAACCACGUGUCAUAUCCAAUGCGUUAGGACACAACAUAUUGAAAUCCCGAUAAUGAGUUUUUAUUUAUGUUUUGUAUUAAAGAGCAUUCUCGAGUAUUUAGAUUCAACAGAAAAUUAGAACCCAGCACGUUAGGGCCCAAUUCUCUCGAAGAUCCCAAGUAUCGAGUAUUGCCUUUAUUUCCAAAAUUUUCCUUUUUUACGAAUUUGGGUAAAAAUUGAUGUGACGGAAUAACAAUUACGAUAAUGCGAGUAAAAAUAAUACGAG